RNAcentral lists this ribosomal RNA (253 nucleotides) under uncultured bacterium. RNAcentral describes it as "partial 16S ribosomal RNA". It matches the Rfam family "Bacterial small subunit ribosomal RNA", at positions 524 to 776 of the family's 1533-position model. The record is from RNAcentral.
UACGUAGGGUGCAAGCGUUGUCCGGAAUUAUUGGGCGUAAAGAGCUCGUAGGCGGCUUGUUGCGUCGGCUGUGAAAUCCCGAGGCUCAACCUCGGGUCUGCAGUCGAUACGAGCAAACUAGAGUGUUGCAGGGGAGACUGGAAUUCCUGGUGUAGCGGUGAAAUGCGCAGAUAUCAGGAGGAACACCGGUGGCGAAGGCGGGUCUCUGGGCCGAUACUGACGCUGAGGAGCGAAAGCGUGGGGAGCAAACAGG